Paramuricea clavata is the source of this 567-nucleotide non-coding RNA. The record is from the annotation of a GenBank genome assembly. NCBI's taxonomy places the organism in Eukaryota, Metazoa, Cnidaria, Anthozoa, Malacalcyonacea, Plexauridae.
CUAUUUUUCUGGGGGGGCCAGUGGGCUGUCAACCAAUAUGCGCCCCUAUAAUGUUACGCUUGAUACACGAGGGCAGACGGUACGAGCCGAGGUUUGUCUAGGGGGGUCCGGGGUCAUGCCCCCCAGGAAAAUUUUUGAAUUUAGAGUCUCUGAAAUGCCAUUUCCUUGACUUUGGGGGAAGAUUUGACAGAAAUCUGAUGGUCAGGAAACGACAUUAUAACGUGUCGAAAUUUGAAAUUUGGUUAGAAUUUAGUAGUAGUACUUCAAGCGAUUAAUCUAAUCCCAAUUCUAUUCUCUACUGAUCUAGUGAUCUGAAUACAUUUACAACUUACAGCUCUUUUAUACAAUAACACACGGACCCCACGCAUAUAUGCAUUUUAAGGUUUCCUUGCCUGCCUGCCAAAACUCAAAAGGGCGCGUUUCAGCAUUAUUUCAUUACUUAGGCCCCGUAUACCGGAUUGCUAUGGGAAUAGGUCAAGUUUUGUAGGUAUUGAAAGAUAGCCGUCGGAAGAUUUUUAAUCUCAGAGACCCAAAUAAACAUGCCAAUUCUGUCAAACUAAUAAGCAU